AGAGCCAGGAGCUGGACUUUGAUGAUCCUUGUGAGUCCCUUCCAACUCAGCAUGUUCUGUGGUCUAUGAUUUUAUGUGAAGUAAUUUAGAAAAAUCUCAGUGACAUUUACCUAUGACUGUGGAUAUCCUCAUUGAGGUUAAGGAGAUGAUUCACAUCCAGGAGCAUUAGAGUUGGUGGUGUAACCCAGGUCCUGAUGAGAGUUUGCAGCUCUGCAGCUGACACCAAGACACUGCUGAUUGUACAGCUUCCUCCUGCUGGAAAUAAUUUCUGCUCUUGCUGCAAAUGAAAAAGAUUCUGCAUGUGUCUGGAAGACAUGUUCUCUUUUUUCUUUCUGCUAUUUGGGUGAUGUUUCUCAGUGCUUUGCAGUCAGGUUGCUAAUCCUUACCCAGCUCCAGGUUCUGCUAAAAGGUCUUUCCCAGUACCAGCAAAACCAAGGCUGCAAAGAACCUGGUUUGGAGGAAGAAGAGCCUGAGUGUGAUUCCUGCCCUCUCCAAAUCUGCUACGGAUCCAGGUAAGGAUAGAGAUGACACAAGACAUCUAUCACUCAUCUGAUCUACCACUUAACUCAAUUAAGAUGAUUGUCUUCCAACAAGAUCCAAGCAAGACAAGAACUGAGGCAGAGAGCCAUCGAACACUUACUGAUCCUGCAGUCGGGCCCGGCGAAGCCUGGAGCACACUCACAGCGGUACCAGUUCUCUCCAUCCACACAAGUGCCACUGUUGUAACUGCAGAGAAAAGGCAUUAUGACAGACAUUAAAAACUGCUACCGAUAAAAGGAACCCAGAAUUCUAAAACAACAACAAAAAAAAUCAAAGGAUAAACAUAGCAAACUUACCAAGGAUGAGGACUGCAGUCGUUUGUGUCUGCAAAGCAAAGACAGACAGCAUUAAACAUGCAGACUUUGGCUAAUACAGCUCUACUGGCAGUAAAGAAUGAUCAAACUUCCCUGAAUGCCCAAGAUACACUUAGCUCAACUUUUACAAAAAUAUGCUGAAAUUCUCUACUAAAUUGAUUCCAGGCUUGUACCACAAAAUUUGUUAACUACAUUGUGGAACACAUGUACACAGGAAGAGAUCCUUGUAAAGAAUCUAACGGGGGAAAAAAGUGGAAGCAGACAGAGCUGCUUGUAGAAAAAGAAUGCAGGAGAAAACAAGACAACAUCUGUCUCCACUUAGCUCAUUUGCAACUUUCUCAUGCCCAGGUCAAGGCUCUAUCACAUAAAGUCAUUAAAAACAAAGAUUCAGGUGAUGCUAAAGCCUACAUCAAACAAGCUUUCCCUUCUGGUUUCAAUCUUGACUCCAAGGGCGACAGGAUGAGCUCAUGUUCUCAUCAUGCAACACUCUGGAAGAGUUCAAGCAGAGCUGACUUACUCUGGGUACAUGUGGGUCCUUCCCAGCCCUCCUUGCAGACACAAGUGAAAGAGUCCCCGCUGACUACACAGGUACCACCGUUGUGACAGGGGUUUGGCAGGCAGCUGCUGUUCCUCGCUGUAACACAAACAACGUUUGCCGCUCAGUGGUUAGAAAGCCCUCAAGUCUGAGCCAAGAGGAACAGCUGAGGUCAGAGCUGCAGCGCUGCAUCUGCUUCCUGGUGAUUAUGCAGGGUAUUUACCUAUGUUACAAGUAGCUCCUUCCCAUCCCGCAGGACACAUGCACUUGAAAGUGUCCCCCUCGUCAUAGCACGUCCCCCCGUUGUUGCACGUCGCCUCAUCACACUGGCUGUCACCUGUGGAAAACCCAAACUAUCCUUAAUACUGGUGCUCUCUUAUGGCAACAAGUUCAAGCAGCCUAUCAGAGCAUGCCUGUUAUGUUUUGGAAAUGCUGAACUUACGGGAGUGGCAAGUUUUUCCUUUCCACCCAUUUUUACAUUCACAGAAGAAGUCGUUGACCAAGUCUCGGCAAGUUCCUCCGUUGUGGCAAGGGUUUUUACUGCAGUCAUUAAUAUCUGGAUAUGUUAAGGAGAGAAAACAGGCUCAGUGGUGUUUACAGAAUUGACAAACACAGUGCUUGAAAGGAGCAUAACCCAUCCCCAAUUUUGGCCUGUGUUUCAAUCGUGGAUUAAAUGCUUAAGUCAGUAUUUUAAAGCUUUAGGCACUGUCGCAGAGAUGAAGACUGUUUCACCACAUUCCUCCAGUUUGUUUUCAUUUUGUUUGUAAUCUUGUUUCAGAAACAAGCAGUGAAAAGGCCUAUUACAUAAACUGCCCUGUUAGUCAGGGGAAGGGAGCAGAGUGCUCUUCUGCUCCCGAGACUGACAAAAUACAAGUGUGACAUGCAGACAGCCAUUCCUAAAGUGGCAUCUACUAAUGCAAGGGGUUUCUUCCUGGAAGUUAUCCAAAGGAUAGAGCAGGAAACUGAACAGUGAGAGAGCCAGGUUCUAAUUCCAGUCCAAUUUUGUAAUUGGGCUUUAGUUCCAAUACAAAAGCUUGGGACUCGGUGGAAGUACCUGGUCCUCCAUGGCCUUUGAAGCAGAGUUUGUUGACACUGGUCACUGUAAUCUUAAAGACAGUGCCAGCCAGUGUUCUCCCAAGAGAUCUUUCUGUGUGCUGAAGGAUGAAUAACUUACUCGUUUCACAAUACGUUCCUUCCCAUCCAUCGCUACAAAUACAUUUGUAGGAGUUGAUGCCAUCAAUGCAAGUGCCACCAUUUUUACAGGGGUUGCUCUCACAGUCAUUGAUAUCUGCAACAGUUGGGAAGAGAAAAGAGGAUUAAAAAAAGAGGGGAAAAAAAUCAAACUAAAAGUACAGCUACUAGGAGUCAUCAUCUUAUUACAGACUGUUUGGUGCUACUUCCAUUUCUAAUACCCUUUGGAGAGGAAUGGUUAUAAGCAAGAUGAAAAAAGGGUAAAAAACUGUGUAAGGUGAUGAACCUGUCACUAUUAAAACCAGAAAAAAUAUCAGGAGUCCUUAAGAUCCACGUUAAAACCUACUAUUAACUCCCUCAGACCUUGUAUACAUAAGGUUUUUAAAAACAUACGAUUCAAGGCCACAGGGUUCAUUACUAUGAACUUCCCCCAAGGCCUAGCAAAUUCCACUCUGCCUCGCCCAUGAGGGAUAUGAAAACUUACAGCAGUUCCAAGGUUCACUGAGUUUCAAUGAAGAAACCUUAAAGGGGUUUGGGAGGGAAGGAUGGAACCUUUUUCCCGUAAGAGUGGGGGACAGUAAAAUAUAUUCUGUUUUUUGCUCUUACUCUCAUGACAGUAGGUGCCAGUGAAUCCUUUGUUGCAUUCACAGGUGAAUUUCCCACCCGCUUGGCUCUUGCACUUCCCGUGAGGACCACAGACAUUGGAAGAGAUGUAGCGAACCCCCUCGGGUGUGCUGUUGGAAGCCACUGCCACGGUGCAACUGUCAAUUACUGCAGAAAAGCAGAGACCAGCAUGAGAAUUGCCCAUGUGACCUGAUUCCUUAAGAACAACAUUUUCACUUCCAGCCAUGGAUGUUUAGAAGACACUCGUGCCAUAGAAUCAUUUUGGUUGGAAAAGACCUUUAAGAUCAUCGAGUGAAACCAUGAACAUAUGACUGGAAAUAUGUUUGCUGCUUUAAAAUAACAGGACUCUGCCAACUGUGCAUAAAAUAACCACAGCAUCUUAUCUGAUGAUUGCUGGACCACAUCCAUGGCCUGGAAUAAAUGCAUCAGGCUGUUUGCUA
Corvus hawaiiensis (hawaiian crow) is the source of this 3644-nucleotide long non-coding RNA. RefSeq lists it as uncharacterized. Lineage: Eukaryota; Metazoa; Chordata; Aves; Passeriformes; Corvidae. The record is from RefSeq and is a predicted model, not a curated record. The transcript is spliced from 2 exons.